GAUGAACGCUAGCGGGAGGCCUAACACAUGCAAGCCGAGCGGUAGAGUUUCUUCGGAAACUUGAGAGCGGCGCACGGGUGCGUAACACGUGUGCAACCUACCUUUAUCUGGGGGAUAGCCUUUCGAAAGGAAGAUUAAUACCCCAUAAUAUAAUGAUUGGCAUCAAUUAUUAUUGAAAACUCCGGUGGAUAGAGAUGGGCACGCGCAAGAUUAGAUAGUUGGUGAGGUAACGGCCCACCAAGUCAAUGAUCUUUAGGGGUCCUGAGAGGGAGAUCCCCCACACUGGUACUUAGACACGGACCAGACUCCUACGGGAGGCAGCAGUGAGGAAUAUUGGACAAUGGGUGAGAGCCUGAUCCAGCCAUCCCGCGUGAAGGAUGACGGUCCUAGGGAUUGUAAACUUCUUUUGUACAGGGAUAAACCUACCCUCGUGAGGGUAGCUGAAGGUACUGUACGAAUAAGCACCGGCUAACUCCGUG
This 479-nucleotide ribosomal RNA is filed under the name uncultured bacterium. Its description in RNAcentral is "partial 16S ribosomal RNA". It matches the Rfam family "Bacterial small subunit ribosomal RNA", at positions 28 to 507 of the family's 1533-position model. The record is from RNAcentral.